CUUUCAGCAGUGAGGAAGGUGGAUAUGUUAAUAGCAUAUUCAUUUGACGUUAGCUGCAGAAGAAGCACCGGCUAACUCCGUGCCAGCAGCCGCGGUAAUACGGAGGGUGCGAGCGUUAAUCGGAAUUACUGGGCGUAAAGCGCAUGCAGGUGGUUUGUUAAGUCAGAUGUGAAAGCCCCGGGGCUCAACCUCGGAAUUGCAUUUGAAAACUGGCAAACUAGAGUACUGUAGAGGGGGUAGGAAUUUCAGGUGUAGCGGUGAAAUGCGUAGAGAUCUGAAGGAAUACCGGUGGCGAAGGCGGCCCCCUGGACAGAUACUGACACUCAGAUGCGAAAGCGUGGGGAGCAAACAGGAUUAGAUACCCUGGUAG
This 370-nucleotide ribosomal RNA is filed under the name uncultured bacterium. Its description in RNAcentral is "bacterial SSU rRNA". It matches the Rfam family "Bacterial small subunit ribosomal RNA", at positions 433 to 793 of the family's 1533-position model. The record is from RNAcentral.